This is a long non-coding RNA of Salvia miltiorrhiza (redroot sage), 586 nucleotides long. RefSeq lists it as uncharacterized. Lineage: Eukaryota; Viridiplantae; Streptophyta; Magnoliopsida; Lamiales; Lamiaceae. The transcript has 2 exons. The record is from RefSeq and is a predicted model, not a curated record.
GGGCACCCCCCACUCGAUGUUGCCUCAUUUGGUGGGAGACCUCAUCAAAAAAUUCCCUCACAAUUCCCAACUAUAUAUAUCACACAUAUAUCCAUGCAUAAUCACCAACAUCUAGUUUCAACAACUUUGACUCAUCAAAUCACCUCGCAUUGCUCAGGGUAUAUAUAUAUCGAUGGGUAAGAUGAUGAGGAUGGUUUUAUUGGUAAUGAUGGUGGUAGCUAUGAUGAGCACUUGCACGGUGGAAGGCAGGAGAAUUUCGGCGGCGGUGGAGGUGGCGGUGGCGGAGCAGGAGGAUGAUGGAGUGGAUAGUGGUUUGGAGGAUAACCACCAUGCUUACUCCAUACCUGACUUCAACAGGCAAGGUGGAAAACCUCCCACCAAAAACUGAUUAAUUGCUCUCUCUUUCUCUCCAAUUAUAUAUAUAUAUAUGUGUGUGUGUGUGUGUGUGUGUUACUGUGUGUGUAUAGAGACUAGAGUUUGUAUGUGUGGAAAUUAAUAAGCUGCUCCGGAGAUCCGUCUUCUCUUGUAUAAAUGCAUGUUCGCGUGAUGACGAGCCAUAUAUAUGUAUAGCUACGUUCCAACACCA